AAGAAGCUCCCGCUUAUGGAUGAGCCCGCGUCCCAUUAGCUAGUUGGUGAGGUAACGGCCCACCAAGGCAACGAUGGGUAGCCGGCCUGAGAGGGUGAUCGGCCACACUGGGACUGAGACACGGCCCAGACUCCUACGGGAGGCAGCAGUGGGGAAUCUUCCGCAAUGGGCGCAAGCCUGACGGAGCAACGCCGCGUGAGUGAUGAAGGCCUUCGGGUCAUAAAACUCUGUCUUUAGGGAAGAG
Molecule: ribosomal RNA, 244 nt
Filed under: uncultured Bacillota bacterium
Lineage: Bacteria; Bacillati; Bacillota
Description: uncultured Firmicutes bacterium partial 16S ribosomal RNA
Rfam family: Bacterial small subunit ribosomal RNA
Source: RNAcentral